CUAGAGUGUCCAGCCCGUUGGCUACCUGAUUAUAUGACAUCUGCGCUCAGAACCAUCUAUUCCUGCUCUCCUGGUCUUCUAGCUUGCAGGCUUCUCAGCCUCUGAGGGAAUUAAUCUCACAAAGACCAUCCUUCUCCCCACCAGUCAAAAGGAGGACCCAGGGCCAAGUCUCAGAGUGGACUGCACGGGCAAUUGUAAGCCAUCAUGACAGUAUGACCCAAGGAUAGACAAAGUCCAGCCCGUGUGCCUGCCUACCCAGGAGCAGCCAGCAGGAGACAAAGCUCCCCUGUCCUGUCCUGUGAUGUCUGUGUCCCACAGUUUUGUGUUCAGGUAAGCGGGACUGUGUGAUUCAAAGUGUGUGAAUAGGGGUCAAGGCUUCGUGUGACUCCAUUGCUGGAAUACUUGCCUCACAUGCAUGAAGGCCUGGGUGUGAG
Molecule: long non-coding RNA, 434 nt
Filed under: Mus spicilegus (steppe mouse)
Lineage: Eukaryota; Metazoa; Chordata; Mammalia; Rodentia; Muridae
Description: lncRNA (ENSMSIG00000028331.1)
Source: RNAcentral